This 224-nucleotide ribosomal RNA is filed under the name uncultured bacterium. RNAcentral's name for it is "partial 16S ribosomal RNA". It matches the Rfam family "Bacterial small subunit ribosomal RNA", at positions 107 to 334 of the family's 1533-position model. The record is from RNAcentral.
UGAGUAAUACAUCGGAACGUGUCUUCUAGUGGGGGAUAACUGCCCGAAAGGGCAGCUAAUACCGCAUGAGACCUGGGGGUGAAAGCGGGGGAUCGCAAGACCUCGCGCUGGAAGAGCGGCCGAUGUCCGAUUAGCUAGUUGGUGAGGUAAAGGCUCACCAAGGCGACGAUCGGUAGCUGGUCUGAGAGGACGACCAGCCACACUGGGACUGAGACACGGCCCAG